AACGAACGCUGGCGGCAGGCUUAACACAUGCAAGUCGAACGCACCUUUCGGGGUGAGUGGCAGACGGGUGAGCAACGCGUGGGAAUCUACCCUUCUCUACGGGAUAGCUCCGGGAAACUGGAAUUAAUACCGUAUACGUCCUGAGGGAGAAAGAUUUAUCGGGGAAGGAUGAGCCCGCGUUGGAUUAGCUAGUUGGUGGGGUAAAGGCCUACCAAGGCGACGAUCCAUAGCUGGUCUAAGAGGAUGAUCAGCCACAUUGGGACUGAGACACGGCCCAAACUCCUACGGGAGGCAGCAGUGGGGAAUAUUGGACAAUGGGCGCAAGCCUGAUCCAGCCAUGCCGCGUGAGUGAUGAAGGCCCUAGGGUUGUAAAGCUCUUUCAGUGGGGACGAUAAUGACGGUACCCACAGAAGGAGCCCCGGCUAACUUCGUG
RNAcentral lists this ribosomal RNA (433 nucleotides) under uncultured bacterium. Its description in RNAcentral is "partial 16S ribosomal RNA". It matches the Rfam family "Bacterial small subunit ribosomal RNA", at positions 29 to 507 of the family's 1533-position model. The record is from RNAcentral.